CAGCUUUGAGACACUCCCCUUCUCGGCGGAGAGGUACUUCCAUGCGUAUCAUGCGCCCAGUAUCCCAGGCUGAUCCUGAUCAUCCUGCAGAUGGUCACGACAGUCAUGAAGGCUCAUCAGUUCGCAGUAAGAAAGGUGCAAGUUUUCGAAGCAGAAGAGCAGUUGUUGGGAGAGUACCAGGUG
This is a long non-coding RNA of Penaeus indicus, 183 nucleotides long. RefSeq lists it as uncharacterized. Lineage: Eukaryota; Metazoa; Arthropoda; Malacostraca; Decapoda; Penaeidae. The record is from RefSeq and is a predicted model, not a curated record. The transcript is spliced from 3 exons.